RNAcentral lists this ribosomal RNA (420 nucleotides) under uncultured beta proteobacterium. RNAcentral's name for it is "bacterial SSU rRNA". It matches the Rfam family "Bacterial small subunit ribosomal RNA", at positions 486 to 906 of the family's 1533-position model. Lineage: Bacteria; Pseudomonadati; Pseudomonadota; Betaproteobacteria. The record is from RNAcentral.
AUAAGCACCGGCUAACUACGUGCCAGCAGCCGCGGUAAUACGUAGGGUGCAAGCGUUAAUCGGAAUUACUGGGCGUAAAGCGUGCGCAGGCGGUUCGCUAAGACAGAUGUGAAAUCCCCGGGCUUAACCUGGGAACUGCAUUUGUGACUGGCGGGCUAGAGUAUGGCAGAGGGGGGUAGAAUUCCACGUGUAGCAGUGAAAUGCGUAGAGAUGUGGAGGAAUACCGAUGGCGAAGGCAGCCCCCUGGGCCAAUACUGACGCUCAUGCACGAAAGCGUGGGGAGCAAACAGGAUUAGAUACCCUGGUAGUCCACGCCCUAAACGAUGUCAACUAGUUGUUGGGUCUUCAUUGACUUAGUAACGUAGCUAACGCGUGAAGUUGACCGCCUGGGGAGUACGGUCGCAAGAUUAAAACUCAAAG